This 690-nucleotide ribosomal RNA is filed under the name uncultured bacterium. Its description in RNAcentral is "bacterial SSU rRNA". It matches the Rfam family "Bacterial small subunit ribosomal RNA", at positions 153 to 845 of the family's 1533-position model. The record is from RNAcentral.
GAAAGAAAGAUUAAUACUGGAUAGCAUAACGAGAAGGCAUCUUCUUGUUAUUAAAGAAUUUCGAUAAUCGAUGGGGAUGCGUUCCAUUAGUUUGUUGGCGGGGUAACGGCCCACCAAGACAUCGAUGGAUAGGGGUUCUGAGAGGAAGGUCCCCCACAUUGGAACUGAGACACGGUCCAAACUCCUACGGGAGGCAGCAGUGAGGAAUAUUGGUCAAUGGACGAGAGUCUGAACCAGCCAAGUAGCGUGAAGGAUGACUGCCCUAUGGGUUGUAAACUUCUUUUAUAUGGGAAUAAAGUGAGCCACGUGUGGCUUUUUGUAUGUACCAUACGAAUAAGGAUCGGCUAACUCCGUGCCAGCAGCCGCGGUAAUACGGAGGAUCCGAGCGUUAUCCGGAUUUAUUGGGUUUAAAGGGAGCGUAGGCGGAUUAUUAAGUCAGUUGUGAAAGUUUGCGGCUCAACCGUAAAAUUGCAGUUGAUACUGGUAGUCUUGAGUGCAGCAGAGGUAGGCGGAAUUCGUGGUGUAGCGGUGAAAUGCUUAGAUAUCACGAAGAACUCCGAUUGCGAAGGCAGCUUACUGGACUGUAACUGACGCUGAUGCUCGAAAGUGUGGGUAUCAAACAGGAUUAGAUACCCUGGUAGUCCACACAGUAAACGAAGAAGACUCGCUGUUUGCGAUAUACAGCAAGCG